RNAcentral lists this transfer RNA (84 nucleotides) under Pyrenophora teres f. teres. Its description in RNAcentral is "tRNA-Gln". It matches the Rfam family "tRNA". Rfam says of the family: Transfer RNA (tRNA) molecules are approximately 80 nucleotides in length. RNAcentral also lists the same sequence under 2 other names. The record is from RNAcentral. Lineage: Eukaryota; Fungi; Ascomycota; Dothideomycetes; Pleosporales; Pleosporaceae.
GGUUGCGUAGUGUAGUGGUUAUCACUCCAGAUUUUGACUCACAUCAACAUUCUGGUAACCCCGGUUCGAGCCCGGGCGCGACCU